GAUGAACGCUGGCGGCGUGCCUAAUACAUGCAAGUCGAGCGAACAGACGAGGAGCUUGCUCCUCUGACGUUAGCGGCGGAUGGGUGAGUAACACGUGGAUAACCUACCUAUAAGACUGGGAUAACUUCGGGAAACCGGAGCUAAUACCGGAUAAUAUAUUGAACCGCAUGGUUCAAUAGUGAAAGACGGUUUUGCUGUCACUUAUAGAUGGAUCCGCGCCGCAUUAGCUAGUUGGUAAGGUAACGGCUUACCAAGGCAACGAUGCGUAGCCGACCUGAGAGGGUGAUCGGCCACACUGGAACUGAGACACGGUCCAGACUCCUGCGGGAGGCAGCAGUAGGGAAUCUUCCGCAAUGGGCGAAAGCCUGACGGAGCAACGCCGCGUGAGUGAUGAAGGUCUUCGGAUCGUAAAACUCUGUUAUUAGGGAAGAACAAAUGUGUAAGUAACUAUGCACGUCUUGACGGUACCUAAUCAGAAAGCCACGGCUAACUACGUG
RNAcentral lists this ribosomal RNA (497 nucleotides) under uncultured bacterium. Its description in RNAcentral is "partial 16S ribosomal RNA". It matches the Rfam family "Bacterial small subunit ribosomal RNA", at positions 28 to 507 of the family's 1533-position model. The record is from RNAcentral.